Molecule: ribosomal RNA, 506 nt
Filed under: uncultured bacterium
Lineage: Bacteria
Description: partial 16S ribosomal RNA
Rfam family: Bacterial small subunit ribosomal RNA
Source: RNAcentral
AUUGAACGCUGGCGGCAGGCCUAACACAUGCAAGUCGAACGGCAGCACAGAAGAGCUUGCUCUUUGGGUGGCGAGUGGCGGACGGGUGAGUAAUGUCUGGGAAACUGCCCGAUGGAGGGGGAUAACUACUGGAAACGGUAGCUAAUACCGCAUAACGUCGCAAGACCAAAGUGGGGGACCUUCGGGCCUCACACCAUCGGAUGUGCCCAGAUGGGAUUAGCUAGUAGGUGGGGUAAUGGCUCACCUAGGCGACGAUCCCUAGCUGGUCUGAGAGGAUGACCAGCCACACUGGAACUGAGACAUGGUCCAAACUCCUACGGGAGGCAGCAGUGGGGAAUAUUGCACAAUGGGCGCAAGCCUGAUGCAGCCAUGCCGCGUGUAUGAAGAAGGCCUUCGGGUUGUAAAGUACUUUCAGCGGGGAGGAAGGCGGUGAGGUUAAUAACCUUGCCGAUUGACGUUACCCGCAGAAGAAGCACCGGCUAACUCCGUGCCAGCAGCCGCCGCCG